Molecule: ribosomal RNA, 404 nt
Filed under: Actinomycetes bacterium
Lineage: Bacteria; Bacillati; Actinomycetota; Actinomycetes
Description: Actinobacteria bacterium partial 16S ribosomal RNA
Rfam family: Bacterial small subunit ribosomal RNA
Source: RNAcentral
UGGGGAAUAUUGGACAAUGGGCGCAAGCCUGAUCCAGCCAUGCCGCGUGAGUGAUGAAGGCCCUAGGGGUGUAAAGCUCUUUCACCGGUGAAGAUAAUGACGGUAACCGGAGAAGAAGCCCCGGCUAACUUCGUGCCAGCAGCCGCGGUAAUACGAAGGGGGCUAGCGUUGUUCGGAUUUACUGGGCGUAAAGCGCACGUAGGCGGACUAUUAAGUCAGGGGUGAAAUCCCGGGGCUCAACCCCGGAACUGCCUUUGAUACUGGUAGUCUUGAGUUCGAGAGAGGUGAGUGGAAUUCCGAGUGUAGAGGUGAAAUUCGUAGAUAUUCGGAGGAACACCAGUGGCGAAGGCGGCUCACUGGCUCGAUACUGACGCUGAGGUGCGAAAGCGUGGGGAGCAAACAGG